AUGGCGUCCGCCUCCGCCGCCGCCCCAGCCGUCUCCUUCCAGCCCGGCCGGCGCGCCCCGCUGCGGCCCCGCUGCACGCAUUCCGAGCGCGGCGUCUCCUUCGACCCCGGCUCAGCCUUCUACCGCAGCGACAGCGCCCCGGGCCGCGACCUGGCCGUCCUCGCCGCCACCCUCCACCGCCGACGCCGCCCCGACCCCUCCGCCCCUUUCCUCUGCCUCGACGCCAUGUGCGGCUCCGGCGUCCGCGCGCUCCGCUACCUCGCGCAGGCCGGCGCCGACUUCGUCUGGGCCAACGACGCCUCCGACGCGCUCCACCCGGUCAUCGUCGGCAACUUCUCUCGCUUCGAGCCCGUGCCUCCCGAAGGGCAGAGGCGGUGGGUGGUGUCGCACCUUGACGCCACCCGGCUGCUCGCCGAGAGGUACCUCCGCCGCGAGUACUUUGACGUCAUCGACGUGGACUCGUUCGGCAGCGAGGCCGAGUACAUCCGGGCGGCCUUCUUGGCGCUCAAGAUUGGGGGCCUUCUCUACCUCACCUCCACAGAUUGGCGGUCGGCGAGAGGUUAUGGCGGAAAAUGCUCACUGUCUUCAUAUGGAGCAUACAUUCGUCCAGUGCCAUAUCCGAAUGAGAUUGGUUUGCGAAUGCUUUUAGGUGGGGCUGCCCGCGAAGCAGCUAUGCUUGGAUUUCACAUAGAACCAGUAUUCUCUUAUUACGCAUACCACGGUCCAAUUUUUCGAGCAAUGGUACGAUUAUGCCAUGGAAAAGAAGAUGGCAUCAGCAAUUAUGGUUUCAUUUGUCAUUGCAAGAGUUGCGGCCAGUCUCAGACUUUUGGAUUUGACGAAUUGGGGCAGAUUUCUUGCGGAUGUGCAGAUAGAACAGAUGCCACUUCAAUCACAGUUGUAGGCCCACUUUGGACAGGUCCUCUACAUGAUCGCUCUUCCAUUACAGAAAUGCUAAACUUGGCUGUAGAAUGGGGAUGGGCACACACAAGUGAGAAUGGUGUCACUUUGGAAAAACUUCUUGGCACCAUGAUUGAGGAGAGUGACCCAAGGUUACCGCCUGGAUAUAUAAGACUUGAUGAGAUUGCCAGCCGAGCAAAAGUUAACUCUCCACCGCUCGGUACUCUCAUCCAUUCAUUGCAGAAGGAAGGUUAUGCUGCUUGUAGAUCUCAUAUAGGUGCCAACGCCGUCAAGACCAACUGUCCCAUCAGUUCAUGCAUUGUGGUCGCACGGGAGAUCCGAAAUUUGCGUUAA
RNAcentral lists this ribosomal RNA (1251 nucleotides) under Triticum aestivum (bread wheat). RNAcentral's name for it is "partial small subunit ribosomal RNA". Lineage: Eukaryota; Viridiplantae; Streptophyta; Magnoliopsida; Poales; Poaceae. The record is from RNAcentral.